This 599-nucleotide long non-coding RNA is filed under the name Anas platyrhynchos platyrhynchos (common mallard). Its description in RNAcentral is "lncRNA (ENSAPLG00000023587.1)". The record is from RNAcentral. Lineage: Eukaryota; Metazoa; Chordata; Aves; Anseriformes; Anatidae.
GUCUUAUACAGCCCUGCACUUUACUUGUAUUGCAGACAGACAGCUCUCAUCUGCACGUCAGCAAUCAUGAUCCACUCACUGAUGAGAAGUGAAUUCCCUUUCUUCUCUCUCCUUCGAAAGUUAACCUCAAAACACGGUUUGCAAAUGAGAGAGACAGGAAAAACAGGAGCCAGUAGCAGCUGUACAAAUUUGAAUCCGCCCCAAAGACCACUUAGAUCUCCGGUUUCAGAGAAUGGUGAGCAGAGUCUACCUCAGCUUCCAUCAUGAAUAUUAAGCAAAUGAAGUCUGGAAAUCUACCUCCACUACCCGCCAUAACAGUGUAACACAGCCCUGAAGUGGCAGCUGUGAAAAGAGAAAACCAGGACGGCCAGACAAACCUGGGAACAAGUUCGUACAGACUGGAGUUUCUGGAGGAAUCGGCUCUGCAGACCAGACAAGCAGGCAAGUAAGUGAAGUUUUAGGUUCUCUCUUUGGUUUGCUACAUUGCACCACAAACUGCCUGCAAGUCCUCUGGGAAGAUUUUCUGUGCUACAAUUAUCCAUCUCUUCAUGGCUGAAACAGGAUUACUGCCUGUGAACUUGGCAAGGUUUUGAGAAACA